UGGGGAAUAUUGCACAAUGGGCGCAAGCCUGAUGCAGCCAUGCCGCGUGUAUGAAGAAGGCCUUCGGGUUGUAAAGUACUUUCAGCGGGGAGGAAGGGAGUAAAGUUAAUACCUUUGCUCAUUGACGUUACCCGCAGAAGAAGCACCGGCUAACUCCGUGCCAGCAGCCGCGGUAAUACGGAGGGUGCAAGCGUUAAUCGGAAUUACUGGGCGUAAAGCGCACGCAGGCGGUUUGUUAAGUCAGAUGUGAAAUCCCCGGGCUCAACCUGGGAACUGCAUCUGAUACUGGCAAGCUUGAGUCUCGUAGAGGGGGGUAGAAUUCCAGGUGUAGCGGUGAAAUGCGUAGAGAUCUGGAGGAAUACCGGUGGCGAAGGCGGCCCCCUGGACGAAGACUGACGCUCAGGUGCGAAAGCGUGAGGAGCAAACAGG
This 429-nucleotide ribosomal RNA is filed under the name Chloroflexota bacterium. Its description in RNAcentral is "Chloroflexi bacterium partial 16S ribosomal RNA". It matches the Rfam family "Bacterial small subunit ribosomal RNA", at positions 355 to 776 of the family's 1533-position model. The record is from RNAcentral. Lineage: Bacteria; Bacillati; Chloroflexota.